CGUAGGUAGAGAAUACUAAGGCGAAGAGAUAAUACUUGUAAAGGAACUCGGCAAAUUAUCUUCAUAAGUUAGACGACAUGAAGAACCCUCUAUUAAUUAUAUAAAAAAUUGUUAAAUUCUUUGUUAUUAAUCUUAUAAAUUUUAUUUUUUUAAUUAUAUUAAAUCAAUAAAAUAAUAAUUAAAGAUACUUAAAAUUUUGUAUAAUUAGGAUGGUGUCACAAAAUCGGAGGCCCCGACUGUUUACUUAAAACACAGCUUUCUGCAACGAUUAAUAUCUUUGUAUAGGAAGCGAAUUUUGCCCAAUGCCAUUAAUAUAAUGUUGAUAACCUUUUUAGUGUUUAUUGAUUGAAGUUCUGGUCAAUGGCGGUCUUAACCAUGAGGAUCCUAAGGUAGCAAAAUUAAUUGUCCAUUAAAUGUGGUCCCGACUGAAUAAAGUAACGAUGGUCUCACUGUCUCUACAAGUAUCUCAGGAAAUUGAAUUAGCCGUGCAGAUGCGGUUUAACUUCGGGUAGACGGGAAGACCCUAUGCA
RNAcentral lists this ribosomal RNA (530 nucleotides) under Tulasnella sp. RNAcentral's name for it is "partial large subunit ribosomal RNA". It matches the Rfam family "Bacterial large subunit ribosomal RNA", at positions 1666 to 2097 of the family's 2925-position model. Lineage: Eukaryota; Fungi; Basidiomycota; Agaricomycetes; Cantharellales; Tulasnellaceae. The record is from RNAcentral.